CCAGCCAGAGACCAGACGGAGUCCAGACCCAACUUUUACUGUUUGCUGGCUGAAUCCAACCGCUGCUUCUCAAUACACCGUUCGGCCUGACUUGUCUUCACCCCGGCUGGCUGUUUAGUUCAGAAGCUGAUCAGUUUUGUCCCGAAAAUAAGAACGAACGAAAGAAAGAAAGCCGUUGUUUCUUCCUAUGCGUCCCAGCCUACCCGGUGCGUCCAACGCGCACAGUAAGGAGAUCAGCGAAGCAAUUUGAGUGACUGACUGCAUGGAUCGGACUUAACAUGAAGAGCCUCAAAGCCAAGUUUAGGAAGACUGAUGCCAACGAGUGGAACAAAAACGACGAGCGCCUCCUUGCUGCUGUGGAACAUGGCGAGGUGGACAAACUGGUGUCCCUUCUUACUAAAAAAGGUGCCAAUGCUGCUAAGCUGGACGGUGAAGGGAAAUCAGCG
Molecule: long non-coding RNA, 446 nt
Organism: Cyprinodon variegatus (sheepshead minnow)
Lineage: Eukaryota; Metazoa; Chordata; Actinopteri; Cyprinodontiformes; Cyprinodontidae
Exons: 3
Source: RefSeq, a predicted model, not a curated record